GUUUCUUUCGCUUUCAAAUAUUUAUCUUGCAUUCGUUUGAUAAAUACUUUUUACGCAGUAGAAAUAUUUUAUUCUCUCAACUGCCUCCUAAUAUCUGGUUAUUUAACGGCUCGAUUUUUCUGUUGAAGAAACAAAAUGAAAUAUUUGGCAUUGCUUUCAGUAUUGUCGAUUUUCCUCGUUUUUACAGCAAGUGAAGUGUGUGAAGAUGGAACAGACUGUAAAAAUGCAAUAUGCUGCAAGUCAUGGUUCCACUAUAGAUGCUGUAAUAUGGAGGAAUUAGGAGUCUGUUGCAGCGGAGGUUACCAAUGUUGCCCAGAAGGGUACGGCUGUCUGCGGCUUGGAAUAAAUAACUUUUGUGUCAAUGGAACAACCAUCGAAAGUCCAGCCGUAAAUUCUCCACAGACAAUUGAAAUCAUACCGGCUUCGUUUACAGAAAAGGAAGAAUAAUUGUCAAAUUAACACUUUUUUAAUUGCAGUAUCUAACAGAUGCGCAGUAAUAUACAGAAUAAUUCUUUAAAGUGAAAAUAUGGCAAAUAUGAUAAUGUAUAAAAUGCCAUGCGAUUUACAAAAUGAAAACUGAAUCUUUCUCAAAUGUAAGUUGCUAUUUUUUUCAUGAAGGCAACAGUUUGAAGAAACAGUUGAUCCUCGCCAAAUUGGCGAACAUUUCGCUGGCUUGGCAAUGAGAUCAUAUCGUAAUCUUGAAUCUAACCAACGUGAUUGUGAUUAACGGAGAACUAAUUAAAAAAGUUUUUCAAAAAUAUGUCGUGAGGUGAAAAUAUUUGAAUAAUUUUUAUUAUUUUCGAGCACUUUAAUAUUGUUAUGGAAAUUGUAGAAUUGGAAACAAGGACUGUAAACAACUUUGAUACAAAAUAAAUUAUUGUUAAAUGAUUAAUAUCUUUUAUUCCUAUUU
Long non-coding RNA from Argiope bruennichi, 910 nucleotides. RefSeq lists it as uncharacterized. Lineage: Eukaryota; Metazoa; Arthropoda; Arachnida; Araneae; Araneidae. The record is from RefSeq and is a predicted model, not a curated record. The transcript is spliced from 3 exons.